UACAGAGGGGGCGAGCGUUAAUCGGAAUUACUGGGCGUAAAGCGCGCGUAGGCGGCUUUGCAAGUCGGGUGUGAAAUCCCCAGGCUUAACCUGGGAACUGCAUUCGAGACUGCGUUGCUAGAGUAUGGGAGAUGGAAGUGGAAUUUCCGGUCUAGCGGUGAAAUGCGUAGAUAUCGGAAGGAACAUCAGUGGCGAAAGCGACUUCCUGGACCAAUACUGACGCUCAUGUGCGAAAGCGUGGGCAGCCAACUGG
Molecule: ribosomal RNA, 253 nt
Filed under: uncultured bacterium
Lineage: Bacteria
Description: partial 16S ribosomal RNA
Rfam family: Bacterial small subunit ribosomal RNA
Source: RNAcentral